Long non-coding RNA from Humulus lupulus (European hop), 887 nucleotides. RefSeq lists it as uncharacterized. NCBI's taxonomy places the organism in Eukaryota, Viridiplantae, Streptophyta, Magnoliopsida, Rosales, Cannabaceae. The transcript has 3 exons. The record is from RefSeq and is a predicted model, not a curated record.
ACUCUCCUCUUCUUCUUCUCUCGGCAUUCCAUGGCAAGGCACCAGACCCAACCACCACCGGCCACCAGUUUUGACGCGCGGCAGCUUAUUGGUUUCGCCUUGCUCCGACGACCUCAACUGCCAAGAGGCACCGCCAAACUCGCCGUCAAUCGUUCGGAAUCGCCAGUCAAAGAUUUGGUCCGUCAACUUUGACUGUGUUUUCCGGCCAACUCCGACCACCUCUUGACGAGUGGUUGAUACCCUUGGAACCAGCGUGGAGAGAGGAACAAAACCCACUAAUUCAUUCCGGUCAACUCACCGUUUUUCUCCGGCAAGAUUUUGGGUAUUUCCGCCCUUUAGAAGCGUUUUCUGGCGACACUGGAGGUCAUUUGGGCGAAGGAGCUGUACUUUCGUGAUGUACUCAUCGAGAGGAUCGUUUUGAUAUAUGCUAUGCAUAUAUUCGUCGAUGUUUCCGGUACCACCACCAACCGCUAUAGUGCACCGCUUGGGACAAGCGUGAUAUUAAAAUCGGACUAAAUCAUUCUAAGAUCAUCGAUAAGCUUAGGAGCGUUGCUUUGAGCUCGGAUUAAAUUCUAAGGAGGUAUCUAAAGAGGAGCCUAGUGACGCGAACGUGGAAAAGUAUGAAUUGUUGCUGAAGCCAAGGUGUUUAGUGCCAUAGUCCUAUCUUUUGAACAUUGUAUGUAUUUAAUUUGGAACCUAUCGGUCUGAACAUCUAAAUUAGCUAUGUCCUAGUUAGAAAUGAGGAAUGGUGGAUGCUAAGUAUUAUUUUGGAUAUUUUAUGACUUAUUAAAUUUAAUUGUUUGGUGACUACAUAACUGUGGGGAUAUUAUUAUUCUAUGUAUUAAGAUAAAUGAUCCUACUUUUAUCCGUAAUAUUUUCAUAUAUAA